RNAcentral lists this ribosomal RNA (254 nucleotides) under uncultured prokaryote. RNAcentral's name for it is "partial 16S ribosomal RNA". It matches the Rfam family "Bacterial small subunit ribosomal RNA", at positions 524 to 777 of the family's 1533-position model. The record is from RNAcentral.
UACGGAGGAUGCGAGCGUUAUCCGGAUUUAUUGGGUUUAAAGGGUGCGUAGGCUGGUAAUUAAGUCAGUGGUGAAAUUCUCCGGCUCAACCGGGGGGCUGCCGUUGAUACUGGUUACCUUGAGUUUAGAUGAUGUGGGCGGAAUGUGUCAUGUAGCGGUGAAAUGCAUAGAGAUGACACAGAACACCGAUAGCGAAGGCAGCUCACAAAGCUAUUACUGACGCUGAUGCACGAAAGCGUGGGGAUCAAACAGGA